UGGGGAAUAUUGCACAAUGGAGGGAACUCUGAUGCAGCGACGCCGCGUGAACGAAGAAGGCUUUCGAGUCGUAAAGUUCUUUUAUAUGGGAAGAUAAUGACGGUACCAUAAGAAGAAGCCCCGGCUAACUACGUGCCAGCAGCCGCGGUAAUACGUAGGGGGCUAGCGUUGUCCGGAAUCACUGGGCGUAAAGGGUUCGCAGGCGGAAAUGCAAGUCAGGUGUAAAAGGCAGUAGCUUAACUACUGUAAGCAUUUGAAACUGCAUAUCUUGAGAAGAGUAGAGGUAAGUGGAAUUUUUAGUGUAGCGGUGAAAUGCGUAGAUAUUAAAAAGAAUACCGGUGGCGAAGGCGACUUACUGGGCUCAUUCUGACGCUGAGGAACGAAAGCGUGGGUAGCAACCAGG
RNAcentral lists this ribosomal RNA (403 nucleotides) under bacterium. RNAcentral's name for it is "partial 16S ribosomal RNA". It matches the Rfam family "Bacterial small subunit ribosomal RNA", at positions 355 to 776 of the family's 1533-position model. The record is from RNAcentral.